CCUCAUCCUUCCACGCCAGAGGUCCAGGGCUUCUUUUUCAUUAACGUCUCCUUCUCUUUUCUUCUUUUUUCAUUUGCUAGAUCUAAAUCUCUCUCUUCUCUUCUCUCUCCCAACUACCCAAGUUUUGCUCUACUCAUGAAGAGAGGAGUGCUAUUAAGUAUCACUUAUUCAGUAUGAGAGCUAAGUGAAGAAAAAGGGUAUGUAGAGGUUAAACACCAAAUUCAAUAAGUUGGUUUAGAACAAUCAAAUCAUUUACUGAAAAUGGCUUGAAUUAUCA
This is a non-coding RNA of Nicotiana tabacum (common tobacco), 277 nucleotides long. NCBI's taxonomy places the organism in Eukaryota, Viridiplantae, Streptophyta, Magnoliopsida, Solanales, Solanaceae. The record is from RefSeq and is a predicted model, not a curated record.